UCCAUCAUCCAUGUCAGAUUACGAUGGUGAGGUGAGAAACAAGCUAAAGACGACGGCACCUUUGUGAGUUGGAGGUGGUCAAGGAGCGCAACCAAGUCGCCGACGAUGUGGAGGAUGGAGUAGGCGGCGGGGUCGGUGGGCACGGACGAGUCGCCGUAACCACGGAGGUCGGGGGCCAGCGCGCGGAAGCCGCGGGCGGCGAGCGCGGCCAUCUGGUGGCGCCAGGAGAGCCAGAGCUCAGGGAAGCCGUGGAUGAGGAGGACCGCCGGCCCGUCGGCGGGGCCGCGCUCGGCGACGUGGAGCGAAAUGCCGUUGACAUCCGCGGUCCAGUGCCGCACCUCGGCGUCGGCCUCAACCUCCAUGCUUUGCUGCUCUGCUUGACGCGCUACCUGCUCACGGUGACUUGCAUAAAUACAAAUUAUCUGAACCUCCUGGCUCGUUCUGGAUCACAUGUUCCAUACCCAUACGUGCACGCGUCGAUUACACCUUGUGCCUACAACAAGCCUGCAAUGGCUACCAGAAGCAACACAACUACGCAAGCUUUCAGCACCAAGUAUUUUUGUCACAUGCUCUUUUUAUUCAUAUUCAUACACGCAAGCCAGCAAAUGCUUAGCUCACACUUUAUUCAAGACUUUUUCAGUUCAGAAAGAAAUGGAGACCCAUCGUACAUCAACAAAACAUCAAGAUGAUGCCUCCUGGCUAGUAAACUUGACGAGGUAGGAAAUCAUCUCCGAAUUCACCCUCUCGGCCUGCUCUUGCUGGAGAAAAUGGUGGCCUUCAAUGACGGUGACUUCAAGAUCUGGAACAAUGGACUUGAAUGCCCCGCUGUUGAUGUACUUCUCAGUCCCAAAGGACUGGACACCGAUGUCCUUAUCACCACCUAUGAACUUCACAGGGACUGUAAUCUUGGCUCCGUUCCAGGGUGCAAGAAGCCUCCAAUUCCUGCAGUUACCACACCUUGCAACUAAAUCACAUACAGUGUAAUAAGGCAGCAAUUUAUAAGAUAAAAAUAGGAAACAGGGUACGGAAAUUACGUCUCCCACAUGCGGUAGUAGUUGAGGGGCGCAGUGAACCCAGACUUCUGAAACUUUUCAGCAUAUUGGCCUAGUUCUUCCUCACUGAUCCAAGGAAGUGGUGAGGGAGAUGCCUCGAGAAAGUCUAUGAUCUCCACUCCAGAAGGAGCACUGAGAUUAUCUAUUUCAAUGGAAUAGAACUUUUUUAGGACAGUCGCCACAUCAUAACGAGCAAAUGAGCUUUCAGCUCUUCCAGGCUCCUGCAAAUAUGAAGCUUGAAUUUUUCAAACAGAGCGCCAGACCCUGAACUUGAAAAAGGUUUGAAGCUACUGGUGCAGACUGAAGACCAACUUGGUGUUUGAAAAAAUUACUGUUGAAAUACCUCGACCUGUUUUAUUUCCUAAUAAGAAAGUGAGCUCCUGCUUCAAGUUUGAGAACAUAAGGUAAAACCAAAGAUUCAAACUGAAAAUGCUAACUGAAAUUUUGCAUUUCCCCCCAUGGCUGAGCUUAGAGAAUGCUCUCAACCAUAUGCAGGCCUGAUACAUAGCACAAUCAUAGCUAAGCAAACACGCAUGCAUGUGUGAUCUUACGAGGGUUUGUUAAAAAUUUCUGCAAAGGAAGUUUGAAGGCAUCACACAUCCAAUAAAAUCAUAUGAUCAAUCAAAUCACCGCACUUCGCUAAAUAAAUAAUAAAAAAAUCUUACAAAUCUCUACAGUUACUACUGUUCAACUGGCAUGGGGUAAACUGCUACUGAAACCUUCAGCUGCUUCAAAUUCAAUGUGUUCUCUAUGAACUGAUGUAUUAGAGCAAGAGUUUCGGUUCUGUGCAAUCCAGCAACGACAAAUAGAUUACUUCAAUUUAUUGAUGGAUGCAAAAAUGUGUCCACGUUCAUCGCUAGAAUUGCGUUUAUUUGUGGGAUCGGAGGGAGUACAAAAUUAGGCAAAGUAGAUAGCAUGGUUGAGCCAGGGCUGCCAGGCAAGAGAAGAUCGGAUCAGCACCUGGAACUGGUUUAUGUAAAAGCCAUCGCCAAACGCUGCGAAGACCUCCAUGACCGGGCGAGGGUGACGAGCGAAGUACGGUACCCCCAGAACGACGGCGGCGCGCACCAGGUCCGGCCGGAACAGGCAGAGGUGCCACGCCACCUGCGCGCCCCAGUCAUGCCCAACCACGAACACCUACAACAGAUCCAUCCACGGCAGAUGGCGGCGCGCACAGGCAGAGCCCAAAAGGUUCAGUCACUCACGAUGGUGAGGUGAGAAACAAGAGCACGGCAGGCGGAAAAAAGGCGGCACCUUUGUGAGUUGGAGGUGCUCAAGGAGCGCGACGACGUCGCCGACGAUGUGGAAGAUGGAGUAGGCGGCGGGGUCGGACGGCGCGGAGGAGUCGCCGUAGCCGCGGAGGUCGGGGGCCAGCGCGCGGAACCCGCGGGCGGCGAGCGCGGCCA
This 2458-nucleotide long non-coding RNA is filed under the name Sorghum bicolor (sorghum). Its description in RNAcentral is "long non-coding RNA (SBIC_LNC015273)". Lineage: Eukaryota; Viridiplantae; Streptophyta; Magnoliopsida; Poales; Poaceae. The record is from RNAcentral.